CAGUCGCCGCGGUAAAACGGAGGGGGCUAGCGUUGUUCGGAAUUACUGGGCGUAAAGCGCACGUAGGCGGCUUGGUAAGUUAGAGGUGAAAGCCUGGAGCUCAACUCCAGAAUUGCCUUUAAGACUGCCGAGCUAGCAGGUGAGAGAGGUAAGUGGAAUUCCGAGUGUAGAGGUGAAAUUCGUAGAUAUUCGGAAGAACACCAGUGGCGAAGGCGGCUUACUGGCUCAUACUGGACGCUGAGGUGCGAAAGCGUGGGGAGCAAACAGGAUUAGAGACCCCCGUAGUCCCUGUCUCUUAUAC
This 301-nucleotide ribosomal RNA is filed under the name uncultured bacterium. RNAcentral describes it as "partial 16S ribosomal RNA". It matches the Rfam family "Bacterial small subunit ribosomal RNA", at positions 509 to 807 of the family's 1533-position model. The record is from RNAcentral.